CAGGACGAACGCUGGCGGCGUGCUUAACACAUGCAAGUCGAACGAUGAAGCCCUUCGGGGUGGAUUAGUGGCGAACGGGUGAGUAACACGUGGGCAAUCUGCCCUUCACUCUGGGACAAGCCCUGGAAACGGGGUCUAAUACCGGAUAACACCGGCUUCCGCAUGGAAGCUGGUUAAAAGCUCCGGCGGUGAAGGAUGAGCCCGCGGCCUAUCAGCUUGUUGGUGGGGUAAUGGCCUACCAAGGCGACGACGGGUAGCCGGCCUGAGAGGGCGACCGGCCACACUGGGACUGAGACACGGCCCAGACUCCUACGGGAGGCAGCAGUGGGGAAGUAUUGCACAAUGGGCGAAAGCCUGAUGCAGCGACGCCGCGUGAGGGAUG
Molecule: ribosomal RNA, 382 nt
Filed under: Streptomyces sp. 027-3.3-CV-A-09
Lineage: Bacteria; Bacillati; Actinomycetota; Actinomycetes; Kitasatosporales; Streptomycetaceae
Description: bacterial SSU rRNA
Rfam family: Bacterial small subunit ribosomal RNA
Source: RNAcentral